UACGUAGGGUGCAAGCGUUGUCCGGAAUUAUUGGGCGUAAAGAGCUCGUAGGCGGUCAGUCGCGUCUGCUGUGAAAACUCGGGGCUUAACUCCGGGCCUGCAGCGGGUACGGGCUGACUAGAGUGCGGUAGGGGAGACUGGAAUUCCUGGUGUAGCGGUGAAAUGCGCAGAUAUCAGGAGGAACGCCGGUGGCGAAGGCGGGUCUCUGGGCCGUAACUGACGCUGAGGAGCGAAAGCGUGGGGAGCGAACAGG
RNAcentral lists this ribosomal RNA (253 nucleotides) under uncultured bacterium. Its description in RNAcentral is "partial 16S ribosomal RNA". It matches the Rfam family "Bacterial small subunit ribosomal RNA", at positions 524 to 776 of the family's 1533-position model. The record is from RNAcentral.